AUUAUUUCCCAUACAUACACUCAUUUUCAAAUGCUCAAGUUUUAUUCGAGAUUGUUGGUUGAUGCAAAAAAUCUUGCUACAUUAACUAAAAAUACAUCUUUAAAAUUUCCAAAUCCAGGACAUCAAUCAUACAAAUAUUUACCAGAAUUUAAUUAUUUAGAUAAUAAACAUAUAUGUGGUAACAUUUACAAAUCAAAUUUUUUAUUUAAACAUAUUCAAAAUCAGAAUAUAUUGGAAAUUUUUUUUACCAUUUCUAAAUCUAAUUAUAUUUUGGAAAAUAUAACAAAAAAUAUAGUAUGUCCAGCCAUACUUCCAAAUUACAUAUCUAUAGAAGAUAUAAGGAGUAAAAAAAUUUAUGAACGUCAUACUCCCAUUUUCAAUGAAAUAUUUGCUAGGGGUCGAAGACCAUGGGGUGCUUUGAAAAUUCGAAGGAGUAAAAUGAAUAAACAUAAACGAGUCAAGAGACUUAGGAAAAAUAGAGUUUAUUAUAUGAAUCUUUUUGAGAAACAAAAAAAGACAAGAGAUGACAAUGCAAACAACAAAGUAAAUAAAGUUACCAAACAUGCUGAAAAUUUUGACCCAAGUGAAUAUGUUCUGAAUAUUAUUAGAGAAUCUGAAAAGGCCAAAAUUAUUUGGCGAGAAAUAUUCUAGAUCAAAGAAAAAAUCUAUAUUGAGUAAAGAAGAGUUAGAACCUAUUUUAAAUUAUGAUUGGCCUUUUAAAAAAUAAUUUUGAUAUUAAUAAUAUUAUUUAUUGUAUAAAUAAUAACUUUUUUUUGUAUAUUUAUUUGAAAUAAUAAUGUUCAUAAUUUAUUCCCAAAUAAUAUUAUUUAAAAAAAA
Long non-coding RNA from Gordionus sp. m RMFG-2023, 837 nucleotides. RefSeq lists it as uncharacterized. The transcript has 3 exons. NCBI's taxonomy places the organism in Eukaryota, Metazoa, Nematomorpha, Gordioida, Chordodea, Parachordodidae. The record is from RefSeq and is a predicted model, not a curated record.